RNAcentral lists this ribosomal RNA (772 nucleotides) under Absidia cylindrospora. RNAcentral's name for it is "bacterial SSU rRNA". It matches the Rfam family "Eukaryotic small subunit ribosomal RNA", at positions 652 to 1434 of the family's 1831-position model. The record is from RNAcentral. Lineage: Eukaryota; Fungi; Mucoromycota; Mucoromycetes; Mucorales; Cunninghamellaceae.
UUCUCCAUUGAAGCUGGAUUGAAUAGCAGGUCCCGGUUGAUAAAGUUUGGUUUAUAGAAGUGGUUGGCUUCGGCCGGCUGCUUUCCCCUAGCCAGGCGUAUUACCAUGAGCAAAUCAGAAUGCUCAAAGUAGGCCUACCGCCUGAAUGUGUUAGCAUGGAAUAAUAAAAUAGGACUCGAGUCUUGUUUUGUUGGUUUCUUGACAUUGAGAAAUGAUGAAUAGGAACGGUUGGGGGCAUUUGUAUUUGGCCGCUAGAGUGAAAUUCUUGGAUUGGCCGAAGACAAACUACUGCGAAAGCAUUUGACCCAGGACGUUUCAUUGAUCAGGGACUAAAGUUGAGGGAUCGAAGACGAUUAGAUACCGUCGUAGUCUUACCACAAACUAUGCCGACUAGCGAUUGGGCCUUGACCUUUGGUCAGGUUCAGCAGCUUAGGAAAGUAAAGUCUUUGGGUUCUGGGGGGAGUAUGGGACGCAAGGCUGAAACUUAAAGGAUUGACGGAAGGGCACCACCAGGAGUGGAGCCUGCGGCUUAAUUUGACUCAACACGGGGAACUCACCAGGUCCAGACAUAAGAAGGAUUGACAGAUUGAAAGCUCUUUCUAGAUUUUAUGGUGGUGGUGCAUGGCCGUCUUAAUUCCGUGGAAGUGGAUUUGGCUGGUUAAUUCCGAUCCAAACGAAACCCUAAUUUGCUANCUAGCUUGGGCCAACUUUUUAAUUGGUAACAUGGUCCCUCGGGUGCCCCAGCUUUUUAGAGAGACUCCUGGAUUCAAUU